This 403-nucleotide ribosomal RNA is filed under the name bacterium. RNAcentral's name for it is "partial 16S ribosomal RNA". It matches the Rfam family "Bacterial small subunit ribosomal RNA", at positions 355 to 776 of the family's 1533-position model. The record is from RNAcentral.
UGGGGAAUAUUGCACAAUGGGGGAAACCCUGAUGCAGCGACGCCGCGUGAACGAAGAAGGUAUUCGUAUCGUAAAGUUCUGUCCUAUGGGAAGAUAAUUACAGUACCAUAGAAGAAAGCUCCGGCUAAAUACGUGCCAGCAGCCGCGGUAAUACGUAUGGAGCGAGCGUUGUCCGGAAUUAUUGGGCGUAAAGGGUACGCAGGCGGUUUAAUAAGUCGAAUGUUAAAGAUCGGGGCUCAACCCCGUAAAGCAUUGGAAACUGAUAAACUUGAGUAGUGGAGAGGAAAGUGGAAUUCCUAGUGUAGUGGUGAAAUACGUAGAUAUUAGGAGGAAUACCAGUAGCGAAGGCGACGUUCUGGACACAAACUGACGCUGAGGUACGAAAGCGUGGGGAGCAAACAGG